This 497-nucleotide ribosomal RNA is filed under the name uncultured bacterium. Its description in RNAcentral is "partial 16S ribosomal RNA". It matches the Rfam family "Bacterial small subunit ribosomal RNA", at positions 28 to 507 of the family's 1533-position model. The record is from RNAcentral.
GACGAACGCUGGCGGCGUGCCUAAUACAUGCAAGUUGAGCGCUGAAGGUUGGUACUUGUACCAACUGGAUGAGCAGCGAACGGGUGAGUAACGCGUGGGGAAUCUGCCUUUGAGCGGGGGACAACAUUUGGAAACGAAUGCUAAUACCGCAUAAAAACUUUAAACACAAGUUUUAAGUUUGAAAGAUGCAAUUGCAUCACUCAAAGAUGAUCCCGCGUUGUAUUAGCUAGUUGGUGAGGUAAAGGCUCACCAAGGCGAUGAUACAUAGCCGACCUGAGAGGGUGAUCGGCCACAUUGGGACUGAGACACGGCCCAAACUCCUACGGGAGGCAGCAGUAGGGAAUCUUCGGCAAUGGACGAAAGUCUGACCGAGCAACGCCGCGUGAGUGAAGAAGGUUUUCGGAUCGUAAAACUCUGUUGGUAGAGAAGAACGUUGGUGAGAGUGGAAAGCUCAUCAAGCGACGGUAACUUCCCAGAAAGGGACGGCUAACUACGUG